This 468-nucleotide ribosomal RNA is filed under the name uncultured bacterium. RNAcentral describes it as "partial 16S ribosomal RNA". It matches the Rfam family "Bacterial small subunit ribosomal RNA", at positions 28 to 507 of the family's 1533-position model. The record is from RNAcentral.
GACGAACGCUGGCGGCGUGCUUAACACAUGCAAGUCGAACGGAAAGGCCCUGCUUUUGUGGGGUGCUCGAGUGGCGAACGGGUGAGUAACACAUGAGUAACCUGCCCUUGACUUUGGGAUAACUUCAGGAAACUGGGGCUAAUACCGGAUAGGAGCUCCUGCUGCAUGGUGGGGGUUGGAAAGUUUCGGCGGUUGGGGAUGGACUCGCGGCUUAUCAGCUUGUUGGUGGGGUAGUGGCUUACCAAGGCUUUGACGGGUAGCCGGCCUGAGAGGGUGACCGGCCACAUUGGGACUGAGAUACGGCCCAGAAGCCUACGGGAGGCAGCAGUGGGGAAUAUUGCACAAUGGGCGGAAGCCUGAUGCAGCAACGCCGCGUGCGGGAUGACGGCCUUCGGGUUGUAAACCGCUUUCGCCUGUGACGAAGCGUGAGUGACGGUAAUGGGUAAAGAAGCACCGGCUAACUACGUG